UCUGGCAUGAGAUCAGUUGCUCACCAUGACUGUGGCAAGCUGAGAAGCCAGCAGUGUUUGAAAUGAUGACAAGGAAGCGCCCUCAAAUUUCCCCACCUCGACCUCAGCCUCCUCCUCCCUCUGUUCCUCCAACAGCUCCUCCUCCAACCCACCUGCCUUCCCUGACUACUCCAUUUUUCUUCCCUCCAUCUACUGUCCAGCGCAAUGCCUCCCUCUCUGUCUUCUGCCCUACCUGGUUCCCUCCUCUAGCUAGUGGUGCCAGUUCCUACUACACCACCUUAAAUAUCUCCAUGCCCAGCUCCUCCUCUCUUCCUUCUGGACCACCCACUCGCCAGCCUGUUCGUCUUGCUCCUCUUUCCUGCUACUCCUCCAUCAUGGCCCCUACUCCUCCUCCCAGCCCUUCCUUCUAGUUCCCUCUUCUCUUGUCCCGCUCACAAUCCAGUCAUCCAAAACCAGACUGAGCCAUUGAUGACUUGCAUUCUGGGGAUGGCGUCCCUAAUCCCCAUGCAGUUCAGAAUGGCCAGGAUCUGAAUGCCCAGCAGCCUGACCUGGGAACCCAAGGAAGGCAGGGUGAGGGCAAGCCAAGCUUCAGCCUGGAGCAUCUCUCUGGAGGUUCUGCAUUUGUCCCUGGCUUCUCUGUGGAACUAGGGCUGAACUACAGAGCAUAGAAGGGAGUGAGCAGGGGGCUCUAGGAGCCUAAGUCUCAUGAUGUGCCCUAAUGUAAAAUGAGGGCAAGAAGACAGAUGCGAGGGCUCUCAGGCAGGGCAUGAGGCUCCUGUAACAGGUGGAAGAGCCUACAAGGCAAGACUGAUCCUGAUCCUGCCCACAUGAUGACAUUGGGUGAAAUGAUACCACUGUAUGAAAUGACCCCUGGUGCUCCUCAGUGUCAUAUACAAAUCCAAUACAAUUUUAAUCAAAAUCCCAACCAAUGUGUUGGGGAAAAUUGAAAAACAUUAUAACCAGUAGAGAAGUGCAAAGGACUAAGAACAGCCAAGACUCUCUUUAGAAGACAUCCUCCCUACCAGAUAUCAGGACAUGAUACACACUUGAUAAACUUAAUCACUAUGUUAA
Molecule: non-coding RNA, 1071 nt
Organism: Ictidomys tridecemlineatus (thirteen-lined ground squirrel)
Lineage: Eukaryota; Metazoa; Chordata; Mammalia; Rodentia; Sciuridae
Source: RefSeq, a predicted model, not a curated record